RNAcentral lists this transfer RNA (72 nucleotides) under Ovis aries (sheep). It matches the Rfam family "tRNA". Rfam says of the family: Transfer RNA (tRNA) molecules are approximately 80 nucleotides in length. Their secondary structure includes four short double-helical elements and three loops (D, anti-codon, and T loops). Lineage: Eukaryota; Metazoa; Chordata; Mammalia; Artiodactyla; Bovidae. The record is from Rfam by way of RNAcentral.
CCACUGGUGGUCCAUGGUUAAGACUCUGCACUUGCGAUGCAGAGGGCACAGGUUUGAUCCCUGGUCAGGGAA